Molecule: ribosomal RNA, 449 nt
Filed under: uncultured bacterium
Lineage: Bacteria
Description: partial 16S ribosomal RNA
Rfam family: Bacterial small subunit ribosomal RNA
Source: RNAcentral
AACGAACGCUGGCGGCAGGCCUAACACAUGCAAGUCGAACGCUGUAGCAAUACAGAGUGGCAGACGGGUGAGUAACGCGUGGGAACGUGCCUUUCGGUUCGGAAUAACUCAGGGAAACUUGAGCUAAUACCGGAUACGCCCUUCGGGGGAAAGAUUUAUUGCCGAAAGAUCGGCCCGCGUCCGAUUAGCUAGUUGGUGUGGUAAUGGCGCACCAAGGCGACGAUCGGUAGCUGGUCUGAGAGGAUGAUCAGCCACACUGGGACUGAGACACGGCCCAGACGCCUACGGGAGGCAGCAGUGGGGAAUAUUGGACAAUGGGCGCAAGCCUGAUCCAGCCAUGCCGCGUGAGUGAUGAAGGCCCUAGGGUUGUAAAGCUCUUUCGCCAGGGACGAUAAUGACGGUACCUGGAUAAGAAGCUCCGGCUAACUUCGUGCCAGCAGCCGCCGUAA